UGUCCUACGGGGCGCAGCAGUAGGGAAUUUUCGGCAAUGGGGGGAACCCUGACCGAGCAACGCCGCGUGAACGAAGAAGUUAUUCGUAAUGUAAAGUUCUUUUAUCAGGGAAGAAAGAGGAAUUUGACGGUACCUGAGAAAAAGCAUCGGCUAACUCCGUGCCAGCAGCCGCGGUAAUACGGAGGAUCCGAGCGUUAUCCGGAUUUAUUGGGUUAAAGGGUGCGUAGGCGGUUUGAUAAGUUAGAGGUGAAAUGUCGGGGCUCAACCCCGAAACUGCCUCUAAUACUGUUGGACUAGAGAAUAGG
This 305-nucleotide ribosomal RNA is filed under the name uncultured bacterium. Its description in RNAcentral is "bacterial SSU rRNA". It matches the Rfam family "Bacterial small subunit ribosomal RNA", at positions 335 to 652 of the family's 1533-position model. The record is from RNAcentral.